AGGUUACUGCUAUCGGUGUUCGCCUAAGCCAUGCGAGUCAUAUGUUCUUCGUGAACAUGGCGUACUGCUCAGUAACACGUGGAUAACCUGCCCUUGGGACCGGGAUAACCCCG
RNAcentral lists this ribosomal RNA (113 nucleotides) under Methanosarcina thermophila. Its description in RNAcentral is "16S rRNA. Archaeal SSU". It matches the Rfam family "Archaeal small subunit ribosomal RNA", at positions 21 to 134 of the family's 1478-position model. Lineage: Archaea; Methanobacteriati; Methanobacteriota; Methanomicrobia; Methanosarcinales; Methanosarcinaceae. The record is from RNAcentral.